CGCAGCCGCGGUAAUUCCAGCUCCAAUAGCGUAUAUUAAAGUUGUUGCAGUUAAAAAGCUCGUAGUUGAAUUUCGGGGUUAGUAGGUUGGUCAUGCCUCUGGUAUGUACUGGUCUCACUGAUUCCUCCUUCCUGAUGAACCUUAAUGCCAUUUAUUUGGUGUUUUGGGGAAUUUGGACUGUUACUUUGAAAAAAUUAGAGUGUUUAAAGCAAGCUAACGCUUGAAUACAUUAGCAUGGAAUAAUGAAAUAGGACGUUCGAUCCUAUUUUGUUGGUUUCUAGGAUUGACGUAAUGAUUAAUAGGGAUAGUCGGGGGCAUUAGUAUUCAAUUGUCAGAGGUGAAAUUCUUGGAUUUAUUGAAGACUAACUACUGCGAAAGCAUUUGCCAAGGAUGUUUUCAUUAAUCAAGAACGAAAGUUAGGGGAUCGAAGACGAUCAGAUACCGUCGUAGUCUUAACCAUAAACUAUGCCGACUAGGGAUCGGAUGAUGUUAAUUUUUUAAUGACUCAUUCGGCGCCUUA
Molecule: ribosomal RNA, 520 nt
Filed under: uncultured Glomus
Lineage: Eukaryota; Fungi; Glomeromycota; Glomeromycetes; Glomerales; Glomeraceae
Description: SSU rRNA
Rfam family: Eukaryotic small subunit ribosomal RNA
Source: RNAcentral